Molecule: long non-coding RNA, 623 nt
Organism: Maniola jurtina (meadow brown)
Lineage: Eukaryota; Metazoa; Arthropoda; Insecta; Lepidoptera; Nymphalidae
Exons: 2
Source: RefSeq, a predicted model, not a curated record
AGUACGCGGGCACCUUUAAAAUUUAAAAUUGCUGUGCAGUUUUUGCUGAACAAUGUGAUAACUAAUGAUUUUAAUUUUCAUUAUUAAUUAAUAUAAAAAAUAUUUUAGUAACUACUUACUGUUAAAAUAAAAAUUUCAAAACUAACUUUCCGUCUUUUAUAGCCUUAGCUUCCGCGAUAGCCUAAAAGUUGUCACAAUCGUUAUGUAGAUGUACCUAUGUUUUUACAGCGUCAUUAUUUUCAAAGUUCAAGGAUAUAGUAUUAGUAUAUAACGAUUCUAUAACAAAUCAUUCAGUGUAUUCAUACAGAUAAAUCACAUCAACAAUGUUCUACAAAUUGUUCGCUCUUUUUGCCAUGCUGGCGAUGGCAUUCGCAGCGCCGAAUCCCGAACCCAAGCCACAAUACUUGACCUACUCUACAGGUCUUGAUUACUUCUACCCAGGCGCCGCCGGCGUGCCUUCGGUCGUCUCUGCAUACUCCGCCCCUGCACUUACCCCAUACGGAUACUCUGCUUACCCUCAAGCUGUUUUUGUACGCUAAAAUGUAAAAGAUAAUAUGAGAAUGUUUAAAAUUUUUCGACAACUUCUUUCUAUCUAAUAAAUCAUCUUCUUUCAUGCAAAAUUA